GUUAAAGGUUCUGACCAGGGUUGCUGGGGCAGGACACUGGGGCAGCUUUGUCUCAAGGCCCAGCUGAUGCUGCUCCCGCUGGGAGGCUGGUGACCACAGAGAAGAAUGUGGAUUGAGUACGAGCAUUUUCAGGGACACACGGGAAUAUAUACCCACAAUACAGUAUAUCCCAUUUGGUUUGAUAUACUUUGAAAAUGCUCACUUAGAAAUGCGGUUCUUGACUCCCUUUAAAGCUUAAAUCUCCCUGGAAGCGGGAGUCCCAGGUACCAGUAUGAAUCAUGGACAUUUCAAAGUUGAUUGCUGAAGAUAUUUGAAUCUUGCGUUCACCUCCUCUGGACUGUGGCUUCCUAAUUAGACUACUUCAAAUGCUAACUCACCACUCCUAGGAUGUGGAUUAAAGUUAGCUUACAACUGGAAACAACCAAAAUGCCCACCAACGCGGGACUGCUUAAAGAAAGUUCGGUGCGAUCAUUUAGUGAGCCACUCUGCUGCUGAAAUUAAAAAAUAAGGAAGCUCUCUGGGCGCUGGUGAGGAAAGACCUCCCGGACAUAGGAUUCAGUGAGGAGAGCAAGUGAAUCUUCCUGACGGUUUCAAGGAAAACCUACAUACACAGAAGAAUGUCUGGGGGAAAUGAGAGGACGAAAGACAAAUUGAAGCCAAGAGGCUUCAACCCCUGCAAGGAUGGCUCCACAGCAUGGCUGUUGAGUGGAGUAGGUCCACUCCCGGGAUCUGAACCUGUGAACCCCAGGCCGCUGAAGUGGAGCACACGUGGAUCUUUGACCACUUGGCCACGGGGCCGGCCCCCACGCGUGUCCUUUUGAAGUCUGAAUCAUCUCCCAUCACAUGGCUGGACCACGUUUAGUUUAUCCAUUCCUCCAUCGGUGGAUAUUUAGGUUGCUUCCACCUUUUGGCUACUGUGCAUAAUGGGGCUCUGAACACUGGCGUAUGAGUUGCUAUUUGUUUUUAAUUAUUUAAAAAAUGGAGGAAACAUUUAUAACAAAUGGAAUUUGGUAGAUAAAAACCGUCAAAACCCAAGGUCAAGGAGAAGAAAAAUAGCAAAAAGGAUUGUGGGUGGUAAAAAUGCAGGGAAACUUGCUGUGGGGCGAGGUUGUUUCCUGGUUGAUUUUCUCCCUUGUUUAUGUGCGUCAACCUGUUCGUCCUUAACCAGUUGUCAGAUGCCUCAUUGACUUGAUAAUAGCUCUGGCGGGGGAAGGAAACACAUUAAAUACACUCACUGACUAUAAGUAUCCCACUUUCAGAAAUGCUCAGUGUGGGUAAUCAUUAAAGUUGGGUGAUGGGUGUGUGGAGAUUCACUAUACUAUUCACUCCAUUUUUUUUUAAUGUUUGGAAUUUUAAUAAGAAAAUAAAAAAUAAUUUAAGAGUUUAAAAAGUGUAUCUUGAAGUGGAGGAAAGAGCGUUCAUUCUACUUCCUGACUUAACCCACCUUUCUCGGCUUGGUCUCCAUCCCGGGGAUUGGAAAUCUGAGCCUUGGUUCCUGUCCCUGGAUCCUGACAGAGUGCCAGGUGUCCCCAGGACACUUCCCAGUGCCUGAAGGGUUACAAGCAAAUUGCCCUGGAAUUAUUCCCCUCCCCCCUACCCUCUGGCCCCAUACAUU
Equus caballus (horse) is the source of this 1615-nucleotide long non-coding RNA. The record is from Ensembl. Lineage: Eukaryota; Metazoa; Chordata; Mammalia; Perissodactyla; Equidae.